Molecule: ribosomal RNA, 617 nt
Filed under: Bacillus subtilis
Lineage: Bacteria; Bacillati; Bacillota; Bacilli; Caryophanales; Bacillaceae
Also listed under: 1 other name
Description: bacterial SSU rRNA
Rfam family: Bacterial small subunit ribosomal RNA
Source: RNAcentral
GUCGUGGGGGAUAACGUAGGGAAACUUACGCUAAUACCGCAUACGACUACGGGUGAAAGCAGGGGAUCUUCGGACCUUGCGCGAUUGAAUGAGCCGAUGUCGGAUUAGCUAGUUGGCGGGGUAAAGGCCCACCAAGGCGACGAUCCGUAGCUGGUCUGAGAGGAUGAUCAGCCACACUGGAACUGAGACACGGUCCAGACUCCUACGGGAGGCAGCAGUGGGGAAUAUUGGACAAUGGGCGCAAGCCUGAUCCAGCCAUACCGCGUGGGUGAAGAAGGCCUUCGGGUUGUAAAGCCCUUUUGUUGGGAAAGAAAUCCAGCUGGCUAAUACCUGGUUGGGAUGACGGUACCCAAAGAAUAAGCACCGGCUAACUUCGUGCCAGCAGCCGCGGUAAUACGAAGGGUGCAAGCGUUACUCGGAAUUACUGGGCGUAAAGCGUGCGUAGGUGGUCGUUUAAGUCCGUUGUGAAAGCCCUGGGCUCAACCUGGGAACUGCAGUGGAUACUGGGCGACUAGAGUGUGGUAGAGGGUAGCGGAAUUCCUGGUGUAGCAGUGAAAUGCGUAGAGAUCAGGAGGAACAUCCAUGGCGAAGGCAGCUACCUGGACCAACACUGACAC